AUUUGGGGCGGUGUUAACGGACUCUUCUUCUCUGUCUGUCCCCGCCCUGCUCUCCGCAGAGCUUCAAGCCUUCUUCUGUUUUCCAGUCAGAGCUGGCAGGGGGAAAAAAAGGGAAAACAGCCCAGGAAGCCCCCACUGGCCGGCGCCCAUGCCAGCUCUCUUCUGGCCAGGACGCAGCUGCUGCGCACUUCGCGCGGGGGCCCACGGCAGGCAGCACAACCCUCCCUCCAUCUCCCACUCCACCGGCGGCCGAAGCCCCACGCGCACUGGAAGGGGCCCAGGUCUACAGCU
Molecule: non-coding RNA, 291 nt
Organism: Echinops telfairi (small Madagascar hedgehog)
Lineage: Eukaryota; Metazoa; Chordata; Mammalia; Afrosoricida; Tenrecidae
Source: Rfam